Molecule: long non-coding RNA, 1642 nt
Organism: Macaca fascicularis (crab-eating macaque)
Lineage: Eukaryota; Metazoa; Chordata; Mammalia; Primates; Cercopithecidae
Source: Ensembl
UUUUUUUUUGUUUUUUUUUUUUUUUUUUUUUUUUUGUCACUCUGUCGCCCAGGCUGGAGUGCAGUGGUGUGAUGUCGGUUCACUGCAACCUCCACCUCCCGGGUUCAAGCAAUUCUCAUGCCUCAGCCUCCUGAGUAGCUGGAAUUACAGGUGCCCGCCACCACGCCUGGAAAUUUUUUGUAUUUUCAGUAGAGGUGGGGCUUUCGCCAUGUUGGUCAGGCUGGUCUCAAACUCCUGACUUCAGGUGAUCUGCCCACCUCGGCCUCCCAAAGUGUUGGUAUUACAGGCAUGAUACACCGCGCCUGGCCACUGCUAUUUCCUUCCACGUGAAGGAGCUCAGUUGGUAUAAUUUCAAGCCUGAGCCUCCCUCUGCUCCUUCGCUCAGUCUGUUCCUAGGAGGUGGAAGACUCCUCUGACUAUUAAGUGUCAACUCUGAGGAAGGUACAUUUCAGGAAGGAUGAAGGGAGCUUGCUUGGCUCAGCUCUGCCCUCUUCCUCUUGGAGUAGGGGUGCGUAGCAACCUGCUAUUUCCCUCUGCACCCCCAAGCUCUGCCACUGCCUGUGAGCGCAGCUUUCACAAGCUGUGCGUUUGUACUCCGAACUAAGCUUUAGCUUCCAACUUAGCCUUUGUCAUAAUAUAUUUUAUGUCUUGCUUCAUGUUUCAUUUCUCAGUCUAUUCAGAUCUCCAGUUGAGAUAAAAGUGUGUGUUUUUAUUUUAGAACCUGUCACGUCAAUACUUAGUGCAUAAACAAGGAACACUGACAAAUAUGAUGACAAGAGGGGAAUUUGGGGAAGACAGGCUGUUAGUGGGAGCAAGGUUUUGUGGCUUUGGACUUUGGACUUCUGUGUAUAAAGAGUAAUUGACCUUCACACUUUCUACAGGAUCAUGUGAGGUCAGAUGAGAUUUUAAAAUUGUGCAGUGGCCUAUGGUGAAUUUUUUUAAAUUUAGUUUUAAGUUCUGGGAUACAUGUGCAAAACAUGCAGGUUUGUUACUUAAGUAAACAUGUGCCAUGGUGGUUUACUGCACCGAUCAACCCAUCACCUAGGUAUUAAGUCCUGCAUGCAUUAGCUAUUUACCCUGAUGCUCUCCCUCCCUCUGCCCCCACCCUGACAGAAAGAUCCCAGUAUGUUGUUCCCCUCCCUGUGUCCAUGUGUUCUCAUUGUUCAGCUCUCACUUAUAAGUGAGAACAUGCAGUGUUUGGUUUUCUGUUCCUGCAUUAGUUUGCUGAGGAUAAUUGACAGUCCCAAAUACAUGGAAUCAACCCAAAUGCCCAUCAAUGAUAGACUGGUUAAAGAAAACGUGUUACAUAUACACUAUGGAAUACUAUGCAGCCAUAAAAAGGAAAGAAAUCAUGUCCUUUGCAGGGACAUGGAUUGAUCUGGAAGCUAUAAUGAAAUUUUUAUCAUACUGGGUAACCACAACUUAUGACAAUUUUAUGUGCACGCCAUGGCUGUUUGUAUAGAUGGGGGAGUGGACUUUGAGGACUCAAGUAAAUGGUGCUCAGACUUACUGAACCUACAGAAAUUUGGGCCUCAGCAAGGAGUGGAGAAGAACUUGGUUCUCCAACGGCCCCGACUGCAAGGGCCCCAGCUUGAGCACAAGCCUCCAGCAGGCACAGGGAGAACCAGGUACGAGUUCACCC